UCCGUGACUCCAUGGGUACUUCUGCUCCAGCAAACCACAGAAGGCCCCUGAAUCCAGGGAAUCCAGGUGCCAGUCAGUUCUUUGUUAAGGCAGGCACACUUCCUAGACCUGUGAAUGCAGACUUGGCUCAUUCCUCCAAAGCCACAUCUAAAUACUAGCCCACAUGGAGGAGAUUUUAGCUAUCUCUGCCACACAGUCCUUCAUGUGACGAGGCUUUUCUGAGGAUUUGAGCGGGUAGGGAAGAAGACAGUGAAAUGGUCAGCACCCACCGAAGAGUUUGGCAGGCCAGGGAGAAACACAAACCCCAGCUGCAAUCAGGUGUGGCAGUCUGAGAGUCCAGCUGCUUCUUCAGCUUUUAUUUUUAUACCUGUGUUUCUAAAGAGCAGCACACAUGAUUUUUUCAGAAAGCUUGCAAUAAACUUGCACACCCAUCUGUGGCACUCUGUAGCAUUUUAUCCACCUUCAAGAAAAGAGGAGCCAAAUCCCAGAGUCCAUUUGAGGAGGACUCCUGUGUGGGAUCUCAGGUUCCACAGCUCUGGUCACAGGAGGGAGAUGACAUGUCUUCCCUGGCCUUAUGGGAUCCCUAGCACCGACCACAGAUGGGAGCAGCUUGGGGACUGCCCACCAUCAUCCACCUUUCAGGACCCUCUGUAUGAGGCUAGUGGAUCUGUGGCUGCAGGUAUGAAGGACUGCAAUGUCUGGGCCUGUAGGUAUGGUCUUCUUUUCUUCUGGUGGUCUGUUACAAAAUAUAGUGGAUAACAGUGGAGUAUUUUGCUCUUUUGAAUACUUAUUUCUCUGUGCAGAUUUAUAUUACUUGUGUCGAUAUAUGAAGUGUGUUAAAUAUAAAAUGUACCACAUAUUAAAAAAAUGAAACAAAACACACACACACACAAAAAAAACCCAAAACAAAAUAAAACCAAAAAAACCCACCCCAACAAACAAUUUUAUUUUGGUUUUGGCAACUGUAAGUGUAAACAUUUAGGUAAAGAACAGAGAUGUUAGGUUUUGUUGCCAGAAUCUUACUCGUAAGGUACCUUAUCCCAUUAUUUUUUCUAUCUGUUCCAUCUUUUGGAUAUUAUUGCAGCAGCUUAAGAGUUUGAUUGAUUUCCACCAAGGCAUAGGAAGAGAAUGUGAGAAGAGUCAGAACUGCUUAAAGUCACAAUCUUAACUGCUGAAAUACUCUAUGAAAAUUGUUUCUGAAUUUAUGUUCAAAAUCCUCCACCUGGUUUGCUGAAUGAGGAGGAAAAGGGAGCAGGGGAUUUUUCUGUCAGUUCUCCACAAGCACAGCUCUAUUGAAUAUUUAAAUACAGCAUUUGCAGGCAGUGCAUGUAAUUAUACCUUUUUUUUCUGGUGAACAACAAUUUACAAAAGAUUACAUUUACCUUUUUAUUAGAAUAAC
Molecule: long non-coding RNA, 1399 nt
Organism: Pezoporus occidentalis (night parrot)
Lineage: Eukaryota; Metazoa; Chordata; Aves; Psittaciformes; Psittacidae
Exons: 3
Source: RefSeq, a predicted model, not a curated record